GAUGAACGCUGGCGGCGUGCCUAAUACAUGCAAGUCGAGCGAACGGACGAGAAGCUUGCUUUUCUGAUGUUAGCGGCGGACGGGUGAGUAACACGUGGAUAACCUACCUAUAAGACUGGGAUAACUUCGGGAAACCGGAGCUAAUACCGGAUAAUAUUUUGAACCGCAUGGUUCAAAAGUGAAAGACGGUCUUGCUGUCACUUAUAGAUGGAUCCGCGCUGCAUUAGCUAGUUGGUAAGGUAACGGCUUACCAAGGCAACGAUGCAUAGCCGACCUGAGAGGGUGCUCGGCCACACUGGAACUGAGACACGGUCCAGACUCCUACGGGAGGCAGCAGUAGGGAAUCUUCCGCAAUGGGCGAAAGCCUGACGGAGCAACGCCGCGUGAGUGAUGAAGGUCUUCGGAUCGUAAAACUCUGUUAUUAGGGAAGAACAUAUGUGUAGGUAACUGUGCACAUCUUGACGGUACCUAAUCAGAAAGCCACGGCUAACUACGU
This 496-nucleotide ribosomal RNA is filed under the name uncultured bacterium. RNAcentral's name for it is "partial 16S ribosomal RNA". It matches the Rfam family "Bacterial small subunit ribosomal RNA", at positions 28 to 506 of the family's 1533-position model. The record is from RNAcentral.